GGGGAAUAUUGGGCAAUGGACGCAAGUCUGACCCAGCAACGCCGCGUGAAGGAAGAAGGCUUUCGGGUUGUAAACUUCUUUUAAGGGGGAAGAGUAGAAGACGGUACCCCUUGAAUAAGCCACGGCUAACUACGUGCCAGCAGCCGCGGUAAUACGUAGGGGACAAGCGUUGUCCGGAUUUACUGGGCGUAAAGGGCACGCAGGCGGUUUUUUAAGUCAGAUGUGAAAGGUACCGGCUCAACCGGUGACAUGCAUUUGAAACUGGAUAUCUAGAGUGCAGGAGAGGAAAGCGGAAUUCCUAGUGUAGCGGUGAAAUGCGUAGAGAUUAGGAAGAACACCAGUGGCGAAGGCGGCUUUCUGGACUGUAACUGACGCUGAGGCACGAAAGCGUGGGUAGCAAACA
This 403-nucleotide ribosomal RNA is filed under the name uncultured Oscillibacter sp. RNAcentral's name for it is "bacterial SSU rRNA". It matches the Rfam family "Bacterial small subunit ribosomal RNA", at positions 356 to 774 of the family's 1533-position model. The record is from RNAcentral. Lineage: Bacteria; Bacillati; Bacillota; Clostridia; Eubacteriales; Oscillospiraceae.